This 467-nucleotide ribosomal RNA is filed under the name uncultured bacterium. RNAcentral's name for it is "partial 16S ribosomal RNA". It matches the Rfam family "Bacterial small subunit ribosomal RNA", at positions 29 to 507 of the family's 1533-position model. The record is from RNAcentral.
ACGAACGCUGGCGGCGUGCUUAACACAUGCAAGUCGAACGGAAAGGCCCUGCUUUUGUGGGGUGCUCGGGUGGCGAACGGGUGAUUAACACGUGAGUAACCUGCCCUUGACUUUGGGAUAACUUCAGGAAACUGGGGCUAAUACCGGAUAGGAGCUCCUGCUGCAUGGUGGGGGUUGGAAAGUUUCGGCGGUUGGGGAUGGACUCGCGGCUUAUCAGCUUGUUGGUGGGGUAGUGGCUUACCAAGGCUUUGCCGGGUAGCCGGCCUGAGAGGGUGACCGGCCACAUUGGGACUGAGAUACGGCCCAGACUCCUACGGGAGGCAGCAGUGGGGAAUAUUGCACAAUGGGCGGAAGCCUGAUGCAGCAACGCCGCGUGCGGGAUGACAGCCUUCGGGUUGUAAACCGCUUUCGCCUGUGACGAAGCGUGAGUGACGGUAAUGGGUAAAGAAGCACCGGCUAACUACGUG